Molecule: ribosomal RNA, 489 nt
Filed under: uncultured bacterium
Lineage: Bacteria
Description: partial 16S ribosomal RNA
Rfam family: Bacterial small subunit ribosomal RNA
Source: RNAcentral
AUUGAACGCUGGCGGCAUGCUUUACACAUGCAAGUCGGACGGCAGCACAGAGAAGCUUGCUUCUUGGGUGGCGAGUGGCGAACGGGUGAGUAAUAUAUCGGAACGUACCGAGUAAUGGGGGAUAACUAAUCGAAAGAUUAGCUAAUACCGCAUAUUCUCUGAGGAGGAAAGCAGGGGACCUUCGGGCCUUGCGUUAUUCGAGCGGCCGAUAUCUGAUUAGCUAGUUGGUGGGGUAAAGGCCUACCAAGGCGACGAUCAGUAGCGGGUCUGAGAGGAUGAUCCGCCCAAUUGGACCGAGAACCCGGCCCAGACCCCAAGGGGGGGCAGAGGUGGGAAAUUUUGGAAAAGGGGGGAAGGCCGGACCAGGCAAGGCGGGGUGUCUGAAAAAGGCCUUGGGGUUGAAAAGGAUUUUUGUCGGGGAAAAAAAGGGUGUUUCUAAAACCGGAGGCUGAGGACGGUACCGGAAAAAUAAGCACGGGCAAAUUACGG